GACGUAGGGCGCAAGCGUUGUCCGGAAUUAUUGGGCGUAAAGAGCUCGUAGGCGGCUUGUUGCGUCGACUGUGAAAAACCACGACUCAACCGUGGGACUGCAGUCGAUACGGGCAGGCUAGAGUUCGGUAGGGGAGACUGGAAUUCCUGGUGUAGCGGUGAAAUGCGCAGAUAUCAGGAGGAACACCGAUGGCGAAGGCAGGUCUCUGGGCCACUACUGACGCUGAGAAGCGAAAGCAUGGGGAGCGAACAGG
This 253-nucleotide ribosomal RNA is filed under the name uncultured bacterium. RNAcentral's name for it is "partial 16S ribosomal RNA". It matches the Rfam family "Bacterial small subunit ribosomal RNA", at positions 524 to 776 of the family's 1533-position model. The record is from RNAcentral.